This is a long non-coding RNA of Monopterus albus (swamp eel), 464 nucleotides long. RefSeq lists it as uncharacterized. The record is from RefSeq and is a predicted model, not a curated record. Lineage: Eukaryota; Metazoa; Chordata; Actinopteri; Synbranchiformes; Synbranchidae. The transcript has 4 exons.
AAAUACGGAGCACAGUCCUUUACCAGUGAGUCGUAUUGAGUCUACAGACGACAAUCUGGCGUAGAUGUUACCUGCGACAGUUUUUAUGUCAAAAGAAUAGAAAUCUUGUAGGAACAGCCGUGACAUUGAGCCAACAUACACAGAGCAGAACCCUCACUGCCCAUUGGCCCUCCUGCCAUUUCGUCACCAAUAAGACCCCGCCUACAUUCAGCUUGUUCCACCAGUAAGGUACAGAGACGUUCAGAGUUAUUGACGCCAAGAUAGUCCUGUCCUGUGGCAGAAGACAAGAGCGACUGACCAACUGGAUGAUUCUGCUGCCGCCAACACACUGAGCCAACAGCAUCAACACUGAGCAGCUACAGCUACUGACUGUCUUCACAUGAUCCUGGAGACACAUCUGGAUUGUGAGGACCAGAUGAUCUGCUGCAUCCUGAUGCUCAGCAGCCUGGUCUCCUCUGUCUGGG